RNAcentral lists this microRNA precursor (104 nucleotides) under Glycine soja. RNAcentral's name for it is "MIR390 microRNA precursor family". It matches the Rfam family "MIR390 microRNA precursor family". Lineage: Eukaryota; Viridiplantae; Streptophyta; Magnoliopsida; Fabales; Fabaceae. The record is from Rfam by way of RNAcentral.
UGGAAGAAUCUGUAAAGCUCAGGAGGGAUAGCGCCAUGGAUGAUCUUCUCUUCACUUUUGAUCUUCUCUUGCGCUAUCCAUCCUGAGUUUCAUGGCUUCUAUCC